UUGCCGCCGGGUUCCGGGGCCUUCUGGCGCUGGCGGCGCCGGCGGGUCUUGCCCGGACCUUGCGUUCCGCGCCGCUGACGGCAAGC
Molecule: transfer RNA, 86 nt
Filed under: Stappia taiwanensis
Lineage: Bacteria; Pseudomonadati; Pseudomonadota; Alphaproteobacteria; Hyphomicrobiales; Stappiaceae
Description: tRNA-Ala
Source: RNAcentral